UGGAGAAGUGGUAAGUUUUAAAAUUAAUAGUUAAUACAACGCAAGUUGCACUAUUAGUAUAAAAUUCUAUUAGAAUUGAAUGAAGCUUUGUUUAUAUAUUGAUAAUGACAGUAUAUAUAUUGUGUCUUGACCAAUUACGUGCCAGCAGUCGCGGUAAUACGUAAGAGACUAGUGUUAUUCAUCUUAAUUAGGUUUAAAGGGUACCCAGACGGUCAAUAUAGCUUCUAUAAUGUUAGUACUUGACUAGAGUUUUAUGUAAGAGGGCAGUACUUGAGGAGGAGAGAUGAAAUUCCGUGAUACCAAAGGGACUCUGUAAAGGCGAAGGCAGCCCUCUAUGUAUAAACUGACGUUGAAGGACGAAGGCACAGAGAACAAACAGGAUUAGAUACCCUAAUAGUCUUUGCAGUAAAUGAUGAAUGCCAUAGGUCAGCAUGGGAUUAUAUGAGUAAAUAAUACUCUUCCCUUGGUCUAUAAAUGAAAGUGUAAGCAUUUCACCUCAAGAGUAAUGUGGCAACGCAGGAACUGAAAUCACUAGACCGUUUCUGACACCAGUAGUGAAGUAUGUUGUUUAAUUCGAUGAUCCACGAAAAACCUUACCACAAUUUGAAUAAUUAUAUUACAGGAGUUGCACGGCUGUUUCCAGUUAAUGUUGUGAAACUGUGGUUUCCAUGAAAUUAACGUAAUCCCUGGCUUUAUUUUUAUAAGUUCAUUGCAGCUAUUACGAUAAAGCAUUCGAUCCUGGAAAUUUGGAAAGAGAAAGGGGACAAAGACAAGUCAUCAUGGCCUUGAUAUUGUGGGCUAUAGACGUGCCACAUAUACCUAAACAAAGAGAUGCAAAAAUGUGAAUUUAAGCUAAUCUCAAAAAAUAGGAUAUAAAUUUUAAGGAUUAUAGUCUGAAAUUCGACUAUAUGAAUAAGUAAUUACUAGUAAUCGUGAAUCACCAUGUCACGGUGAAUAUAGCUUGGAUUGGUACUAACCACUCGUCACAUGCUGAAAGGAGCAUG
Molecule: ribosomal RNA, 1004 nt
Filed under: Calonectria ilicicola
Lineage: Eukaryota; Fungi; Ascomycota; Sordariomycetes; Hypocreales; Nectriaceae
Description: SSU rRNA
Rfam family: Bacterial small subunit ribosomal RNA
Source: RNAcentral